AUUCAUUUUCAGAUGUGUCCACCAGAUGGCGGAGUUUCGGGGCUCCGCCAUUCUUUCCCAGAAAACGAGCCAGGAAGGUCGAUUAAUGCUCACCUUAAAACAUUUUGAUUGGACUUAAAUGGCCACUAGGCCAAAACCUCCGAUGAGUCUGAUCACAUUGCUGGAUUGAGAGUUUGAGACUGCUUCUUACUAAGAUGCCCUCGCAUGCUACGUGUCCGGCUGUACCUGUACGUCUCACCUUUAGAAAAAGAAGUUCCACAGCCAGGUGAAGUCUGAGCUACUGCAAUGCUGUCUAUUGUUCUCUUCGUUUUCUUGCAGCCAGCUGAUGAAUGGUGUGAUGAGCUGCUACUUGCAUCCCAUCGUGCUGGUGUGGUGAGCUGCUUCUAUCCAGCCAGUGGUGCUGGUGUUAUCCUGAAUUAUCGGCUCUAGAUUACUGAAAAAAUUUUGGAUUGUUGUGUUUGUGGACUAAAGAUGCAUAUUUUCCUUCAUAUAUAGUAAAAGUUUUUGAAAACUUA
Daphnia pulex (common water flea) is the source of this 515-nucleotide long non-coding RNA. RefSeq lists it as uncharacterized. The transcript has 3 exons. NCBI's taxonomy places the organism in Eukaryota, Metazoa, Arthropoda, Branchiopoda, Diplostraca, Daphniidae. The record is from RefSeq and is a predicted model, not a curated record.